UAGUAUAGGACAAAGUGUUCUA
RNAcentral lists this non-coding RNA (22 nucleotides) under Arabidopsis thaliana (thale cress). Lineage: Eukaryota; Viridiplantae; Streptophyta; Magnoliopsida; Brassicales; Brassicaceae. The record is from RNAcentral.